This is a long non-coding RNA of Lemur catta (Ring-tailed lemur), 121 nucleotides long. RefSeq lists it as uncharacterized. NCBI's taxonomy places the organism in Eukaryota, Metazoa, Chordata, Mammalia, Primates, Lemuridae. The record is from RefSeq and is a predicted model, not a curated record. The transcript has 3 exons.
GUUGGAAUAGCCACAGGUACUGCUGGUGUAGUCUCUGGAAAAACUCUGGAGCCUAGCAUUUACAACACAGAGGUCACAACUUUCACGGGAGGAAACAGGACCACGCAAGCAGAACUUCCAG